GCCUUGGUGGCUCAGACGGUAAAGCGUCUGCCUGCAAUGCGGGAGACCCGGGUUCGAUCCCUGGUUCAGGAA
RNAcentral lists this transfer RNA (72 nucleotides) under Ovis aries (sheep). It matches the Rfam family "tRNA". From Rfam's summary of the family: Transfer RNA (tRNA) molecules are approximately 80 nucleotides in length. Their secondary structure includes four short double-helical elements and three loops (D, anti-codon, and T loops). The record is from Rfam by way of RNAcentral. Lineage: Eukaryota; Metazoa; Chordata; Mammalia; Artiodactyla; Bovidae.